AGCCAAAACAACUGCCCUAAUCCUUUACCAAGUGCCAAUUCAUAUCCAAAUCCCAGCAUCGGAGAAAAACGCACAUACUGCUCUUCAAUGCAUGCUAAAGAUCCCGACAGACGAUCUCAGCGAAACAACCAUGAGAGCCGUGAACCAGUUCACAAGCCUACUAACUGGGACAACAAUUGGGUACAACGUGUAUGGCCUCUUUACUAUCAGCCCGCCG
Haliotis rubra (blacklip abalone) is the source of this 217-nucleotide long non-coding RNA. RefSeq lists it as uncharacterized. The transcript is spliced from 3 exons. Lineage: Eukaryota; Metazoa; Mollusca; Gastropoda; Lepetellida; Haliotidae. The record is from RefSeq and is a predicted model, not a curated record.